RNAcentral lists this ribosomal RNA (433 nucleotides) under uncultured bacterium. RNAcentral describes it as "partial 16S ribosomal RNA". It matches the Rfam family "Bacterial small subunit ribosomal RNA", at positions 29 to 507 of the family's 1533-position model. The record is from RNAcentral.
AACGAACGCUGGCGGCAUGCCUAACACAUGCAAGUCGAACGAGACCUUCGGGUCUAGUGGCGCACGGGUGCGUAACGCGUGGGAACCUGCCCUUAGGUUCGGAAUAACUCCCCGAAAGGGGUGCUAAUACCGGAUAAUGUCUUCGGACCAAAGAUUUAUCGCCUUUGGAUGGGCCCGCGUUGGAUUAGCUAGUUGGUAGGGUAAAAGCCUACCAAGGCGACGAUCCAUAGCUGGUCUGAGAGGAUGAUCAGCCACACUGGGACUGAGACACGGCCCAGACUCCUACGGGAGGCAGCAGUGGGGAAUAUUGGACAAUGGGCGAAAGCCUGAUCCAGCAAUGCCGCGUGAGUGAUGAAGUCCUUAGGGUUGUAAAGCUCUUUUACCCGGGAUGAUAAUGACAGUACCGGGAGAAUAAGCACCGGCUAACUCCGUG